GUCUAUGGCCAUACCACCCUAAACACACCCAAUCUCAUCUGAUCUCGGAAGCUAAACAGGGUUGGGCCUGGUUAGUACUUGGAUGGCUUAGAGGUGGUGCUGCUCACA
Molecule: ribosomal RNA, 108 nt
Filed under: Chinchilla lanigera (long-tailed chinchilla)
Lineage: Eukaryota; Metazoa; Chordata; Mammalia; Rodentia; Chinchillidae
Source: RNAcentral